UACGAGAGGCCCAAAUGUUAUUCGGAAUUACUGGGCUUAAAGAGUUCGUAGGCGGCAUUGCACGUAGGGUGUGAAAGCCCUCGGCUCAACCGAGGAAUUGCGCUCUAAACUGCAGUGCUUGAGGAACCUAGAGGUGAGCAGAACAGAUGGUGGAGCGGUGAAAUGCGUUGAUAUCAUCUGGAAUACCGGAGGCGAAGGCGGCUCACUGGGAGUUUUCUGACGCUGAGGAACGAAAGCCAGGGUAGCGAACGGG
RNAcentral lists this ribosomal RNA (253 nucleotides) under uncultured bacterium. RNAcentral's name for it is "partial 16S ribosomal RNA". It matches the Rfam family "Bacterial small subunit ribosomal RNA", at positions 524 to 776 of the family's 1533-position model. The record is from RNAcentral.